CGAAAGCCUGACGGAGCAAGACCGCGUGGGGGAGGAAGGCUCUAGGGUUGUAAACCCCUUUUCUUUGGGAGGAACAACAUGACGGUACCAAAGGAAUCAGCCUCGGCUAACUCCGUGCCAGCAGCCGCGGUAAUACGGAGGAGGCAAGCGUUAUCCGGAAUGAUUGGGCGUAAAGCGUCCGCAGGAGGCAAUGUAAGUCUGCUGUCAAAACCCAGGGCUCAACUCUGGUCAGGCAGUGGAAACUACAUAGAUAGAGUUCGGUAGGGGCAAAGGGAAUUCCCGGUGUAGCGGUGAAAUGCGUAGAGAUCGGGAAGAACAUCGGUGGCGAAAGCGCUUUGCUAGACCGAAACUGACACUCAGGGACGAAAGCUAGGGGAGCG
RNAcentral lists this ribosomal RNA (380 nucleotides) under uncultured cyanobacterium. Its description in RNAcentral is "bacterial SSU rRNA". It matches the Rfam family "Bacterial small subunit ribosomal RNA", at positions 376 to 770 of the family's 1533-position model. The record is from RNAcentral. Lineage: Bacteria; Bacillati; Cyanobacteriota.